RNAcentral lists this ribosomal RNA (253 nucleotides) under uncultured bacterium. RNAcentral's name for it is "partial 16S ribosomal RNA". It matches the Rfam family "Bacterial small subunit ribosomal RNA", at positions 524 to 776 of the family's 1533-position model. The record is from RNAcentral.
UACAGGGGGUGCAAACGUUGCUCGGAAUUAUUGGGCGUAAAGCGCGCGUAGGCGGCUACUUAAGUCGGAUGUGAAAGCCCUUGGCUCAACUGAGGAAGUGCACCCGAAACUGAGUAGCUGGAGUACGAAAGAGGGUCGCGGAAUUCCCGGUGUAGAGGUGAAAUUCGUAGAUAUCGGGAGGAACACCGGUGGCGAAGGCGGCGACCUGGGUCGAUACUGACGCUGAGGCGCGAAAGCUAGGGGAGCAAACGGG